AGUGAACGCUGGCGGUAGGCCUAACACAUGCAAGUCGAACGGCAGCACAGUAAGAGCUUGCUCUUACGGGUGGCGAGUGGCGGACGGGUGAGGAAUACAUCGGAAUCUACUUUUUCGUGGGGGAUAACGUAGGGAAACUUACGCUAAUACCGCAUACGACCUACGGGUGAAAGCAGGGGAUCUUCGGACCUUGCGCGAUUGAAUGAGCCGAUGUCGGAUUAGCUAGUUGGCGGGGUAAAGGCCCACCAAGGCGACGAGCCGUAGCUGGUCUGAGAGGAUGAUCAGCCACACUGGAACUGAGACACGGUCCAGACUCCUACGGGAGGCAGCAGUGGGGAAUAUUGGUCAAUGGGCGCAAGCCUGAUCCAGCCAUACCGCGUGGGUGAAGAAGGCCUUCGGGUUGUAAAGCCCUUUUGUUGGGAAAGAAAAGCAGCAGGUUAAUACCCCGCUGUUCUGACGGUACCCAAAGAAUAAGCACCGGCUAACUUCGUG
RNAcentral lists this ribosomal RNA (492 nucleotides) under uncultured bacterium. Its description in RNAcentral is "partial 16S ribosomal RNA". It matches the Rfam family "Bacterial small subunit ribosomal RNA", at positions 29 to 507 of the family's 1533-position model. The record is from RNAcentral.